ACAUAUCUUCCACUUGCUGGGAGGGGCCAUCCUUUUUGCAUGGAAAUUUGGAUGUGUGGUAUUCUUCUAGUUAAUGCAAAUGCCACAAGGUAGAGAGUUAUUUCUUCCCUCUAUUGUCAUCCUUCUCAUUUGACUUGUCUUCCAAAAUAAUAUUCUUUUUAUGUUGUUAGUCUAGUUUCCUGUGAAUUGACGGAUGCUAUUGUGCCAUCUGGAACAAGCACAACCAUGUGUGAGCACUUGAUAAGAGUUAGACACGACUUGUUCACAAAUAAGUCCAGACACAGAAUGUGAAACGGACAUCCUCUUUUUUUUGACUAAAGAACGGACACCCUCUUUCAAACUCUGAAUUCUUCUCCUAGUUGCUUCUGUUUUACUGCUGUUCUGGUGAUUCAAACCAAAUAAUGUCUUCUUUUAAGCAUCAUAUAUAGCGAUAUAACUCACCUUUAGUAAGUUAUAUAUCAUAUUUGUCCUAGUAGUAAUAUGUUCUUCAAUUGCAACGCUGUUUUGGCCAUUGAAGCAUCAGAUGUUUUUGGUGGUUCAUCUUGUUAUUCAAGUGUAAAAGGCAGAAGCAUGAUAAAGCUGUGCAUCCCCAGGAGCAUAGAUGGUUUAUUUGGCAAUCACUUUUUUUUUCUUUUCAUGUAAUUGCAUAAAAUCUGCUGUGCAUCAUGCUGUAGUUUCGAUUUCAGUUUUACAUCUUUCUUAAUAUUGUUUUUCAUGUGAUUAUGCAUCUGUAGUCAUCAGUCAGUACACCGGCACAGGCUAGUAUUUUUAUUGUGAUUUUGGAACAUCAUUAUUUAUAUUUAUGAAUAUUUUAAUUUGAUAUAUUGAGAAAACUCUAUCUAAACAACAAGAAAAUUCCUUGCCAGCACUUUUUUAAAUCUUCUGAGAAUACAGUACACUUAUAUUUUUCCUCUUUGCCAACGAAGUUAUUACUUUGGGUGUGGAUACUUUUGUAAUUUGUUGCAGCAUGAUGCUUAUAUUUAGUAUGGAAGUUUAGUUUUUAAACUCUGGAAAUUAAAACCUAAUAAAUCUUUUUUUUCAUGGUUACUUACAGCCUAAGAACAUUUUUAAGACAAGAUUAGUAUGUAAGCUAGCUACAUAUUCCUCUAGGUAUGCUUUAGUUGUAUGCCUUAAUUCAUACUGAUUGGGCAGAUAGUGUAAAUCAACUUGAUUAGAACAUGGGAAUCGAAAAUAAAUCUAAUUAUUCUGUGUAUAUUUAUAUGUUCAGACCUUGUAUACAUAGAGUUACUAUGAACUGAACUUUGAUUUGUUUUUCCAGGCCAUGUGCGCCCAGGAAACAGAUUCAUGGAUGCCUUCUGGUUCUUAUCUUCAUAUUGUGUGCAAUGCAUGGAACGCAUGCUUCUGAGUUUUGACUAUUACUUUAAAAACUACUACUACUCUGAUACUUAUUAUCUAUUGCAUGUAGGGUGUAGAUGAAAACAUUAAAUCAAAUUUGACGGUCAUGGUUUCCUUUUUUAAAGAUUAAUGUGCUCAUGUUUAGCCAUUUUUUUAUUAUUGUGUGAAUUUAUUUAUUUUAGAAUUUUUAAGAUUAAUGUGAGGGCUUCUUAUUAGUAUAAACAAAGCUUCAGCCGGGAUUCUUCUACUGGCCUGCCAAAAAACUAUUUUGUAAAUUUACAGGAUAACAAUGGUGUAAUUACUCAGAUGAUGGCAUUUGGCCCUUAAGAAUUUGAAAAAUAUUUAACCAGUGCAGAUGUUAAAGAAAAUAUAGCUACUCCCUCCGUCCUAAAAUAUAAGCAUUUUUUGAACCUUGACAUGGUCUCCGAGAUACUACUUUGACCAACAAUAUCUAUAAAAAUAAGAUGUUUUAAAUAAAA
This 1835-nucleotide long non-coding RNA is filed under the name Oryza sativa (Asian cultivated rice). RNAcentral describes it as "long non-coding RNA (OSAT_LNC001375)". Lineage: Eukaryota; Viridiplantae; Streptophyta; Magnoliopsida; Poales; Poaceae. The record is from RNAcentral.